GCCUUGCAUUUCUUCACAAGAAUAGGGAGUUCAAGAAGGCCUUACUUUUUGUUCGAGAGUGAAAUGAACAAGCAGAAGGUUACUGCAGCUGCCUGUCAAGCUGUAAAUUCUUUAAUACAGUUGAUGAAGAACCCAUCUACACCUCAACGAUUCUGGCUAUCUCUAUUGAAUGAAUCUGUGGAACUGCUUAUGUGGCCAGAUCAUGCUUUAAUCAAUGUUGCUGAAACUAACCUGUUGUUAAACAAGUUUCAAGAACUGUCUCUAGCAAAGGUCCGAGGUGAUUUGGAGGUUUCUCAUAAUGACGAGUCUCCUCAAGCUGUCCAGCAUGUGAGGCUGGCACUUGCUACAAACCUUGGCCGUGCUAUAUGGCAAGAGUGAACACUGUUGAUUUGAUAUAUCAAAAUCCUGUAAGUUGGCAAUAAUUUGUGAAGAGC
Molecule: ribosomal RNA, 434 nt
Filed under: Pinus taeda (loblolly pine)
Lineage: Eukaryota; Viridiplantae; Streptophyta; Pinopsida; Pinales; Pinaceae
Description: partial hypothetical protein
Source: RNAcentral